AACGAACGCUGGCGGCAGGCUUAACACAUGCAAGUCGAACGAUGUAGCAAUACAUAGUGGCGCACGGGUGAGUAACGCGUGGGAAUAUACCAAUCAGUGGGGAAUAACUUUGGGAAACUAAAGCUAAUACCGCAUACGCCCGAGAGGGGAAAGAUUUAUCGCUGAUUGAUUAGCCCGCGUGAGAUUAGGUAGUUGGUGGGGUAAUGGCCUACCAAGCCUACGAUCUCUAGCUGGUCUGAGAGGAUGAUCAGCCACACUGGAACUGAGACACGGUCCAGACUCCUACGGGAGGCAGCAGUGGGGAAUAUUGGGCAAUGGAGGAAACUCUGACCCAGCCAUGCCGCGUGAAUGAUGAAGGCCUUAGGGUUGUAAAGUUCUUUCGCCGAUGAAGAUAAUGACGGUAGUCGGAGAAGAAGCCCCGGCUAACUUCGUGCCAGCAGCCGCGGUAAU
Molecule: ribosomal RNA, 450 nt
Filed under: uncultured bacterium
Lineage: Bacteria
Description: bacterial SSU rRNA
Rfam family: Bacterial small subunit ribosomal RNA
Source: RNAcentral